Molecule: long non-coding RNA, 1539 nt
Organism: Gallus gallus (chicken)
Lineage: Eukaryota; Metazoa; Chordata; Aves; Galliformes; Phasianidae
Source: Ensembl
CUGUAUCUAUGCUGUCAAGCACUUUCUCGCUCCAAAUGAUGUAUUAACACAACAGUUGAUCUGGGGAAAGGUUGUUUCUGGAAACUGCUUGAGGGAUUAUGAACUUGGGCCAGAAACAUAUUGCUGCUUGACCAUAUUCCAGUGUGAAAACAAACACGAGUUCAUAUUGAGUAGAAUCCCAUAGUUCUUACCAUUGACCUGAUAGAAUCUUUGUAGAAGCAUAGAAUCAUAAAAUCAUUAAGGUUGGAAAGACCAUAGAAUCAUAGAAUGAUAAAAUCAUAAGGCUGGAAAGGACCUACAAGAUCAUCUAGUUCAACCCUCCUCCCAUUACCCUUGCUACCACAAGCUACUAAACCAUAUCUCAUAGCUACUCAUCCAGACACCUCUUGAACAAUGCCAGGGAUGGCAACUCCACCACCUCCAUGGGCAGCCCAUUCCAGUGCCUGACCACUCUCUGAGAGAAAAAGUUUUUCCUUAUGUCAAAUCUAAACCUCCUCUAGUACAACUUCUCUCCAUUUCCUCAGGUUCUGUUUGUUGCCUGGGAGAAGAGGGCAAAUCCCUCCUCAUCACAAUCUCCCUUCAGGAAGUUGCAGAGUGCAAUGAGGUCUCCCCUGAGCCUCCUCUUCUCCAGACUAAAAAAUCCCAGCUCCCUCAGCCACUCCUCAUAAGGCCUGUGCUCCAGACCCCUCACCAGUUUCAUUGCCCUUCUCUGGACACAUUCCAAGGACUCAAUGUCUUUCUUGUAGUGAGGGGCCCAAAACUGAACACAGUACUUGAGGUGCAGCCUCACCAGUGCUGAGUACAGGGAGAUGAUUACCUCCCUGCUCCUGCUGGCCAUGCUAUUUCUAAUGCAGGCCAGGAUGGCAUUGGCCCUCUUGGCCACCUGGGCCCACUGUCCGCUCAUGUUUAGCCAAGCAUCAACCAACACCCCCAGGUCCCUUUCCUACUCUCAGUCAUCCAGUCACUCAGCCCCAAGCCUAUAGCAUUGCAUGGGGUUGUUGUAGACAAAGUGCAGGAGCCGGCAGUUGGCCUUGUUGAACCUCAUCCCAUCCACCUCAGCCCAGCUAUCCAGCUUAUCUAGAUCCCUCUGAAGUGCCUCCCUACCAUCAGGCAGAUCGACAUCACCUCCCAACUUGGUGGUACACUCAAUCCCUUCAUCUAGGUCAUCAAUAAAGAUAUUAAACAAGAUGGGCCCCAGUACCAACUCCUUGGGGACACCACUUGAAACUGGUUGCCAGCUGGACUUAAGUCCAUUAACUACUAUCCAUUGGGCACGGCCCUCUAGCCAGUUUCUUACCCAAGGAAGGGUAUAUCUGUCCAGGCCACCAACAUCCUUUAGUCCAGCCAUUAACCCAUCACCCCAUUCCACUAAACUGUGUGCCUCUGUGCCACAUCUACCCUUUUCUUGAAUACCUCCAAGGGACAGUGACUCCACUACCUCCUCAGACUUGGGAGACUUCGAUCCCGUAAGAAAUUUCUUCUCAGCCUUUUGCAACAAGAGAACUACUAGCUCUCAGUACAUUUCAGAUGAGCCAAGUC